This 426-nucleotide ribosomal RNA is filed under the name uncultured bacterium. Its description in RNAcentral is "bacterial SSU rRNA". It matches the Rfam family "Bacterial small subunit ribosomal RNA", at positions 354 to 796 of the family's 1533-position model. The record is from RNAcentral.
GUGAGGAAUUUUCCGCAAUGGGCGAAAGCCUGACGGAGCAAUGCCGCGUGAAGGAUGAAGGCCUAUGGGUUGUAAACUUCUUUUCUCAGAAAAGAAUUAUGACGGUAUCUGAGGAAUAAGCAUCGGCUAACUCUGUGCCAGCAGCCGCGGUAAGACAGAGGAUGCAAGCGUUAUCCGGAAUGAUUGGGCGUAAAGCGUCUGUAGGUUGUUUAAAAAGUAUUAUGUCAAAGAUUAGGGCUUAACCCUAGAUAGGCAGAAUAAACUUUUAAGCUAGAGUUUUGGAGAGGCAGAAGGAAUUCCCGGUGGAGCGGUGAAAUGCGUAGAUAUCGGGAGGAACACCAAAGGCGAAGGCACUCUGCUGGGCCAAUACUAACACUGAGAGACGAAAGCGAGGGGAGCAAAUGGGAUUAGAAACCCCGGUAGUCC